RNAcentral lists this long non-coding RNA (223 nucleotides) under Arachis ipaensis. RNAcentral's name for it is "long non-coding RNA (AIPA_LNC000853)". Lineage: Eukaryota; Viridiplantae; Streptophyta; Magnoliopsida; Fabales; Fabaceae. The record is from RNAcentral.
AAAUAGAUUUGUUGAACUAAAUUUUGAGUCCGUCCCAAACAUAGUAAAUUAGUACACUAAAAUUCAAUUUUCCAGAAACAGUAGGCACAUAUUGAAAGCAGGAACUAACAUCACGUUUAACCAUUACUUACCUUCUUCAUUCUACUAUAAAUCCUCACCAUUAUUAUCACCAUCCAACAAAAUAAAAAAAAAAAAACAAAAACAAAAAACAAAAAAAAAAAAA